GAUGAACGCUGGCGGCGUGCCUAAUACAUGCAAGUCGAGCGAACAGAUGAUGAUCUUGCUCCUCUCACGUUAGCCGCGGACGGGUGAUUAACACGUGUAUAACCUACCUAUAAUACUGGUAUCACUUCGGGAAACCGGAUCUAAUACCGGAGAAUCUAUUGAACCACAUUGUUCAAUAGUGAGAUACGGUGGUUCUGUCACUUAUAGAUGGAUCCUCGCCGCAUUAGCUAGUUGUUAAGGUACCGGCUUACCAAGGCGACGAUGCGUAGCCGACGUCAGAGAGUGAUAGGCCACCUGGGAACGGAGCCACGGUCAAGACGCCUACGGGAGGCAGCAGAAGGGAACCUUCCGCAAUGGGCGAAAGCAUGACGGAGCAACGCCAAGUGAGUGAUGAAGGUCUUCGGAUCGUAAAGCUGUGUUAUUAGGGAAGAACCAAUGUGUACGUAACUAUGCCCGUCUUGACGGUACCUAAUCAGAAAGCAACGGCUAACUACGUG
RNAcentral lists this ribosomal RNA (497 nucleotides) under uncultured bacterium. RNAcentral describes it as "partial 16S ribosomal RNA". It matches the Rfam family "Bacterial small subunit ribosomal RNA", at positions 28 to 507 of the family's 1533-position model. The record is from RNAcentral.